Durio zibethinus is the source of this 1966-nucleotide non-coding RNA. The record is from RefSeq and is a predicted model, not a curated record. Lineage: Eukaryota; Viridiplantae; Streptophyta; Magnoliopsida; Malvales; Malvaceae.
UCGAAUGACGCACUCGCGCACUUCCUCUAGAUUAACGAUUCCUUUGUUUUGAGGCAAACCUAAACCUGAAACCCCCAAUCUCAAAAACCUGAAACUCCCAAUCUAAAAAACCUGAAUACACACCACAUAACCAAAGAAAAAAUGUCUAAGCUUCCUAUGGAUGUAAUCACCGACAUUUUAUAUCGCCUCCCGGUGAAGGCUCUCGUACGAUUCAAGUCCUUGUCUAAACCAUGUUGCUUCUUAAUCGACGAUCCAGAUUUCAUCAGAGACCACUUGAAUCGUUCCAUCCAAACCAGAUCAAAUCUCAAUAUCAUCCUCAAAGGCUUGCAUCUCUAUUCCGUGGAAUUUGACGCCCUGGAUACCGCCGUUCCCCUCGACUAUCCUUUGAGUAACGGAGCUGGUACAGAAGCUUUUGGUUCUUGUAACGGCCUCCUUGCAUUCCGUAUCACCGAGAAAAAUCUUGCCUUGUACAACCCUUCAACGAGACUGUUCCGUAGGUUGCCUGUUUCAGAGAUUGAUCCUCCACCAGGUGAAUCUUGUAAAUCUGGGUAUGUUUUUUAUGGGUUUGGACAAGAUGUUAAAACUGAUGAUUACAAAGUGUUGAGAAUGGCACAGUUUAAUCAAAAUGACGAUGAAGAUGGUGAAGGUUACUUUUAUGAUUACGAGGUUAAGGUUUAUAGUUUAAAGAAUGAUUCUUGGAGAAAAAUCACUAAGCUUCCUCCUUAUCUGCGGUUUAUGUUUCAAUUUUUCUACCAUCUUUUGCAUAGGCGAGGCUAUGGUGUGCUUGCUGGUGGGGUUUUGCAUUGGGUGAUGCCUCCGCGAAUUGAAUUGGGAAUGAGAAAUAGGAUUGUUGGUUUCGAUCUUGGAACCGAGGAGUUUGUUGAAGUGCCUCAGCCUGAAUGUGCUAAUAAGAACUAUCUGUUGGAUGUGGGUGUCUUGGAAGGAUGCCUUUGUGCUGUUUGUAAUUAUGACCAAGUUUCUGUUGAUGUCUGGGUUAUGAAGGAAUAUGGAGUGAAAGAAUCUUGGUCUAGGUUGCUUUCUGUUCAAAAAACUAGAGCCAUUAACACACUAACGUUUUUAAAGCCAUUAGCAUAUUCCAAGUUUAGUGAGAAGGUUCUGUUGGAGAUUAAUAAUCAAAAGUUUGCGUGGUAUGAUUUACAAAAGAAGAAGAUGCGGAGUGUGAAGAUUGGUGGUAGUCCAGGUACAUUUGGUGCAGAGGUUUAUGUAGGAAGCCUGAUUCCAAUAGAAGACCAGAAAAGAAAGGAAAAUGAGAAACAAAAUGAACAAGGUGUACAGAAGAACAGAAAUCGAAAUAAGCGGGAUGAUUUCCUGUCGCAAGGAUUCAAGUUGGUUUUAUGAUCAAAAUGAAGAAAAUAUACAGAAUAUGAGCAAAGUGCGAGGUAGCUAAAUCGCUUAUAAAGGGCCAAGAAGCUAGCAUGUUCCCUCUGUUUUUCUACAGCGGAUCCCCCAAAGGGUUGACUUGAGGAGGUGUUGACAUAUGACUGCUGCCUGGCAGGACAUGAUUUCAAAAGAGGAAGCUUUUGGAGUGUUGUAGCCACUUAUUGUGAACGACGGAACAAAAUGGGGAGUCUGGUUUGGCCGAUUUAUAUUAUCUUUCUUAUUUCUACUGCUUUUAUAUCAUCUGAAUGUGGGUCGCAAAAUUUUAUUGCACCGAUAGGGGAAUGAGAAUGGUACAUUCUGGUGGUAAGGUGUUUUUUUUUUUUUUUUUUUUUUUUUUUAUAAUAUGGGAUUGUUGAUAGCCUUUACUGUGUGAGACAUUUAAGAAUUUAACUACCUUUUGAUCUGUUCUUGAUUCCUGCAUCUGGACUUAAAAGCUUAUCUUUAAGCCAAAGCAGGGUUCAAAGAGUAACAAUCUGAACCAUUCAAUGGUUGAGAAAGAGACUUUUGUUGCUUAAAGUACUACAACCAAGUUUCUUAACUCUUUACAUGAACAUCGUGAUUCUCA